Molecule: ribosomal RNA, 253 nt
Filed under: uncultured bacterium
Lineage: Bacteria
Description: partial 16S ribosomal RNA
Rfam family: Bacterial small subunit ribosomal RNA
Source: RNAcentral
UACAGAGGGUGCGAGCGUCAAUCGGAGUUACUGGGCGUAAAGGGCGCGUAGGUGGUUGUGUGUGAGUGAUGUGAAAGCCCCGGGCUUAACCUGGGAAGUGCAUCGCUAACUGCAUAACUUGAGUAGGUGAGAGGGUAGCGGAAUUUCCGGUGUAGCGGCGAAAUGCGUAGAGAUCGGAAGGAACGUCAAUGGCGAAGGCAGCUACCUGGCACCAUACUGACACUGAGGCGCGAAAGCGUGGGGAGCGAACAGG